RNAcentral lists this ribosomal RNA (3354 nucleotides) under Chaetothyriales sp. AZn1a. RNAcentral's name for it is "partial 18S ribosomal RNA". The stretch from base 978 to 3354 matches the Rfam family "Eukaryotic small subunit ribosomal RNA". The record is from RNAcentral. Lineage: Eukaryota; Fungi; Ascomycota; Eurotiomycetes; Chaetothyriales.
UAGAGCUAAUACAUGCUAAAAAUCCCGACUUCGGAAGGGAUGUAUUUAUUAGAUAAAAAACCAAUGCCCUUCGGGGCUCCUUGGUGAUUCAUAAUAACUCAACGAAUCGCAUGGCCUUGCGCCGGCGAUGGUUCAUUCAAAUUUCUGCCCUAUCAACUUUCGAUGGUAGGAUAGUGGCCUACCAUGGUCUCAACGGGUAACGGGGAAUUAGGGUUCGAUUCCGGAGAGGGAGCCUGAGAAACGGCUACCACAUCCAAGGAAGGCAGCAGGCGCGCAAAUUACCCAAUCCCGAUACGGGGAGGUAGUGACAAUAAAUACUGAUACAGGGCUCUUUUGGGUCUUGUAAUUGGAAUGAGUACAAUCUAAAUCCCUUAACGAGGAACAAUUGGAGGGCAAGUCUGGUGGACGCGAGUUCCUAGUCGACAUGGUUAUGUCGAAGUUCUAGUUGCUUAUCGCCAGAAAGAGGCCGCUCUCCCGUUGCGUAGGAUGUAGGAAAAAGGCCUAGUCGAGCACCCCACGCUGAUGCGGGCGGAAAAUGUCCUUUCCCCCCGGCUGAAGUGGAAUACCUAGAGGGUAUUUUAGAGGGGUGUCGGCGACACAACCUGGUUCAGGGAAGCCCGACCUCUGAUGGGUAAUGCCUACAGAGAGGGUAAUCCUGAGGCGAGUCACCCCCCCAAGCGUGGUGACCGUCGCAGAGCAUGCCAAGGUGUGGGUUCUGCUUCGGCAGAGCUUAAGGUACAUGCCGAGUCCCCCCGAGAGGGGGGCCGUCGUAUCUUCUGUCUGGUGACCGCAGGUGGUGCGGCCGCUGGUCAGGGACGGUCCGAGUGCCUCUAGCACGAAGGUCGGCGGGUUGAGAGCCAACAAAAUCGGACGGGGCGUUUUGAAAGCCCCUCUCCGAUGGACCGAUACCGCACCCGUUCUGGGUGUGCUCUCAAUGGUAGGAUAAGGGAGUCUGGGGGGGAUUAUUGUUUGCCCCACACGCCGUCAGAGCGCCUAAUCAUGAACGCGACCGCCCACCCGUGCCCUGGUCCCGGGGCGUGGGAGGACGAUCGUCCCGCCUCGCGGGAGCGCACGGCAGGGGGGGCAACGAGGUCCCCUCCCCCAAUCCGAACUGGCCAGCAGCCGCGGUAAUUCCAGCUCCAAUAGCGUAUAUUAAAGUUGUUGCCGUUAAAAAGCUCGUAGUUGAACCUUGGGCCUGGCUGAUCUGUCCUCCUAAUCGAGCGCACGGAUUCGGUCGGGUCUUUCCUUCUGGGGAGCCGCAUGCCCUUCACUGGGCGUGUCGGGGAACCAGGACUUUUACCUUGAAAAAAUUAGAGUGUUCAAAGCAGGCCUUUGCUCGAAUACAUUAGCAUGGAAUAAUAGAAUAGGACGGAGGUUCUAUUUUGUUGGUUUCUAGGACCGCCGUAAUGAUUAAUAGGGAUAGUCGGGGGCGUCCGUAUUCAAUUGUCAGAGGUGAAAUUCUUGGAUUUAUUGAAGACGAACUACUGCGAAAGCAUUCGCCAAGGAUGUUUUCAUUAAUCAGUGAACGAAAGUUAGGGGAUCGAAGACGAUCAGAUACCGUCGUAGUCUUAACCAUAAACUAUGCCGACUANNNNNNNNNNNNNNNNNNNNNNNNNNNNNNNNNNNNNNNNNNNNNNNNNNCUGAACUUAAGAAUUGACGGAAGGGCACCACAAGGCGUAAACCCAAGCCUACCAAGCCGUAGACUCUGCGCCGGAAAGCGGGUGCGUAAGCACGGUGGUCGCCCCUGUUCCCACGCUAGUAGCCCUCCCCCGAGACAUCGGUCCCGGGGGGGCAGGCUGCGAGACUGUCAAACUGCGGGAAAGUUCUGUAAAAAGUCGGUGGUACGAAGCUGGUUUGGUGAUGAACCGCCAGUGGCCAGGGAGAAAAGCCCUGGGUAGCGUAACAAGCCUCGACCUGGGAUUAUCCGCAUCCAAGCGCCCGCUCCUCUGUAAAGGAAGGGUGAAGGUUCAGAGACUACAUGGCAGUCGGUGAAGCCUCCUCCCAGGGGCUUUGCCUAAGAUAUAGUCCAAUCCCAUUGGGAAACCUCUGGGUAGCUUUACAUGUAGCAGCUUACCACUUAGAAAUGGGAGCCUGCGGCUUAAUUUGACUCAACACGGGGAAACUCACCAGGUUAACAUCAUGUCUGGGCCUGGAAUAGUAUACAUCACAUCAGGGCGAUGUGGUGGUGCUAGUAUACCGUCUCGUAGCUGCACGGGGUAGUCCCCAAUUUCGGGUGCAGGGGUGAUUUGCAGCUGUAGAUCACCAGACGGAUGCGACACCAGCUGGUACAGGGAACGCCUUCAAUGAUCAUGUAAAAUUGAUUUACAGGCCGAUCCUGUGGCGAGCCAGGGUAACGCCUGGCCGUCGCAACGCGCGCUAAGCGGUGGGUGAAUCACCUUUCGGUGGUUUGCUUAAGGGACGUGCUGGCCCAUGGGAUGAUAAACCAUGCCACGAUGCAGGAGGGCCGAAAUACCAAAUCAUCGUGGGCAGCCCAGAUGGGUAUGAAUGAACAUAAUUCCUACCCAUCUAGGCUGUGGAAUGUGGGGAUGGACCAUCCCCCUGGCAAAAACGCCAGACAUGCUUAGGAUUGACAGAUUGAUAGCUCUUUCUUGAUUGUAUGGGUGGUGGUGCAUGGCCGUUUUUAGUUGGUGGAGUGAUUUGUCUGCUUAAUUGCGAUAACGAACGAGACCUUGACCUGCUAAAUAGCCCAACCCACUUGGUNNNNNNNNNNNNNNNNNNNNNNNNNNNNNNNNNNNNNNNNNNNNNNNNNNAACUUAAGGAAUUGACGGAAGGGCACCACCAGGAGUGGAGCCUGCGGCUUAAUUUGACUCAACACGGGGAAACUCACCAGGUCCAGACAUAACUAGGAUUGACAGAUUGAUAGCUCUUUCAUGAUUUUAUGGGUGGUGGUGCAUGGCCGUUCUUAGUUGGUGGAGUGAUUUGUCUGGUUAAUUCCAAUAACGAACGAGACCUUACCCUGCUAAAUAGCCAGGCCGGCUUUGGCUGGUCGCCGGCUUCUUAGAGGGACUGUCACCGUCUAGCUGACGGAAGUUUGAGGCAAUAACAUGUCUGUGAUGCCCUUAGAUGUUCUGGGCCGCACGCGCGCUACACUGACAGAGCCAGCGAGUUCAUCACCUUGGCCGGAAGGUCUGGGUAAUCUUGUGAAACUCUGUCGUGCUGGGGAUAGAGCAUUGCAAUUAUUGCUCUUCAACGAGGAAUUCCUAGUAAGCGUGAGUCAUCAGCUCGCGUUGAUUACGUCCCUGCCCUUUGUACACACCGCCCGUCUCUACUACCGAUUGAAUGGCUUAGUGAGGUCUUGGGAUUGGCUUUAAGGAGCCGGCAACCGCACCUUG